Long non-coding RNA from Medicago truncatula (barrel medic), 297 nucleotides. RefSeq lists it as uncharacterized. The transcript is spliced from 2 exons. NCBI's taxonomy places the organism in Eukaryota, Viridiplantae, Streptophyta, Magnoliopsida, Fabales, Fabaceae. The record is from RefSeq and is a predicted model, not a curated record.
UGAAGUACUUUGAAGAUUACAAAUGUAAAAACUAUUCUAAAGAUAAGCUAGUUGAGGUCGAGGAGGAUUGGGAAACUUUUAUGGUCGAGUAUAUUAGAGAAAAUGUUGCUGGUAGAUUUAUCAACUAGAGGUCGGAUAGCUUGUCAUGAGUCCUCUUAAAUUUCGGUGUUUUUUUGUUGGUAAUUGUGGCUGCUUUUAGGUGCUCUUUUUAUUUUCUUUUCUUUUUUUGUAAUUGUGGAUUAAUUAAUAUUAUGACAUUUGUAAUGAGAUUAUCAUGAAUGCAAUUUGCUAAAUUCA